AGAAAACCCAAAACCUCUUACUAAAACUCAACUUCUGUCCUUUCUGGGCAUGACAGGUUUCUGUAGACAAUGGGUUCCUGAAUAUGCUCAUUUGGUACAGCCCUUACAGGACAUGGCCUAUGGCCAGAAGCUUGCAUCACAUGAUAGAGUAAGGUCUUCCCUAUUGUCUGAAGGCUGUGGCAGCGGCAGCAGAUGCGGUUUUGCGAUCACAGCCUCUGGUGUGUUAUCAGCCACUUGAGCUACAAGUUCCUCACUCUGUUGCCUCCAUCUACCAACUCCCAUUGAAGGCCCGCUGCACGACAUCAAGCCGACAUCAAGCACGACAUCAAGGACUGCAAGAGAAAGCACUGGAGCAAGCCACGCUGGUUGGGUCCAUACCAAGUUCAACUGGUCACUCUGCUGUCAAAGUUGCUGAACGAGGAACCUGGGUCCACGCCACACACUGUAAGAAGGCUCCAGCGUUAGAAGAUAUGGCGAAAGAAUAGGUAAAUGGAAAUUACCUAAGGGCGGCGUGGCUUGUGGUGCUAGUAACCAUCAACUCCAACACAGCCUGCAACCCUGGAGCCAGAGAGACAAGGACCAUGGAACCCCUUCAGGAGGUCUGGAGGAAUGAGAUGCACCAUCGGGUACCUGCUGAUUUUAAGUAUUGUCGUUGUCAUACCAAUGGUGUAGUUUUUCAAACCACACUAUGAUGAUCAUGGACAGAUUGUAAAUAUGACAUCUAAUGAAGCAAGGAAAGAGACAAUUGUACACCAUGAGAAAAGGUCCGAACGACAGAUAGGGCCUGAUUUUGAACAGACUCGGUUAAUCUCUUGUGAAAUGAUGAACUGCCCCCCGGAUGGGGAUUGCUAUGUACUGACAAGCCCAGUGUUGAAGGAUAAUAAGUGGUAUUGGACUCUAUUUCCCUCCUCGUACUUUUCUCCCAACCAUGGGAUCAGGUGGAGAUGUUAUGAUAAUGAUUAUUGCACUGUUACCAUUUCCAAACCUCUAGGAGUAAUCCAGGAUUACUGGUGCUUCAGUACUGACGAAGACAACACACCUUGCAGAUCACCUGACUUCCCUAAAGUAGCAGACUGGCAGGCAUAUGGUUGGACCAAGGUGGCAGCACAAAUGACACUGCCAGGUUAACCUACACAGAGCGAGUAGGAGAACGUGGCUUCAUUGUAAGGAUACAGAGGAUCCUGGUGCAGACAGACUGUCGCACUGAGGAGGAUGAAGUCAGAUCAGGUGCUUCAGGAGCCACACAGAGUUUAGGACAAAGUGAUUGCUCCACCACAACUCAAACCGAUUUCGAGGCUCUAGGGGCUUUGCCGUUGCAGGUCUAUAUAGUCUGUGGUGGGGAAGCAUACAGUUGCAUUCCUAGAGAUGCAGGUGGAGUAUGCUACAUGGCGUACUUGGUCCUUUGAUUAGGCGAGCCGAACACAGGGAAAUGGCAGCCUUAUAUCAGUCCCAAUUUCGCCACAAGCGAACACUUACUAGAACUCAACGUAUAUUUAGUGUUCUGAUCCCAGGAUAUGGCACAUACACCUCACAGGAAGAGAUAAUGGCACUGUCCGCAGUGUUGGAAAAACACAUGAAUUUGACAACUGACACAAUUGCAGCAAUAGGUACGGAGCUGAGUGAAACCCUUUCAGUUGCUCUGCAGAAUAGGAUGGCCCUAGACAUGAUUUUGGCUUCCCAGGGCGGUGUCUGUAAGGUGGUGGGAUCCGAGUGUUAUACAUACAUUUCAGAUGCAUCACAAAAGGUAAUUAAUUUAGUCCAAGAAACUAAUAAAGGAAUAGAGGAACUUAAUACAGUUCAUGGGUGGGACCCAUUCUCAGGGUUAUCCUCUAUGGUUGGUCCCUGGGGGAUGACAAUAUACAAGAUAUUGACUACUGCCUUAGCCGCUAUUGCCUUUUUGUUUGUUUGUGGUAUAUUUUUGUCUUGUUUAAUAAAAAUGUGUGUUUCUAAGUUUGCAACACAGGUAAUGGUCCAGAAGUAUGCAAAUGAGGAUUCCGAUGUUUCAGAGAUGUUCCAGUUCCCAAAUUACUGGGAUGAUGAUAUCAAAAAAAGUUCAUGUUGUUCAAGAGCAUUGUUUGUAGUAGUCUGAAGCUUAAUGAAUUGAUGUUAAAUGAUCUGAUUGGUUAAACGUUGCAUGUUAGUAUUACAUGACAUUUCAUGAUAUAGGGCGGAUUGUCAGGGAAAUGUAUUUUAUUGAUGUAUUCCUACUGAUUAAAGGACUGAGUCCCCAUGUUUUGAUAAGUAAAGGACUGUAGUUAGAGGGGGAUCUGGUGUUGCCUAGGAGGCAUCCUUGACCAGCAUCCUUGACCGGCACCAGCGGAUUAGAUGGUUACUCGUAAAUCAGUAGAUCUGUAUGACCCUUUUAGGGUCUAUCUGUUGGGUGUCCAGACACUGGGACUCCUAAAAGGUUGAAAAGGUUAACCAUGUGAAUGUGUUUUAUUGACACACAUCUUACCACACCCCUUUUUCCUCCUUUAAAUAAGGAUGAUUGUCCUGUGUUACUUUAGAGAUUAUUCAUUGUUACUUUGUAACCUGUGUAUUCUCUCCUUGCAAGAAUAAACUGUUUAUUGUGC
Molecule: long non-coding RNA, 2573 nt
Organism: Esox lucius (northern pike)
Lineage: Eukaryota; Metazoa; Chordata; Actinopteri; Esociformes; Esocidae
Source: Ensembl